This 253-nucleotide ribosomal RNA is filed under the name uncultured bacterium. Its description in RNAcentral is "partial 16S ribosomal RNA". It matches the Rfam family "Bacterial small subunit ribosomal RNA", at positions 524 to 776 of the family's 1533-position model. The record is from RNAcentral.
UACAGAGGUCCCAAGCGUUGUUCGGAUUCACUGGGCGUAAAGGGUGCGUAGGUGGUCAGGUAAGUCGGAUGUGAAAUCUCCGAGCUCAACUCGGAAACUGCAUUGGAAACUACCUGGCUCGAGGGUUGGAGGGGGGACUGGAAUGCUUGGUGUAGCAGUGAAAUGCGUAGAUAUUGGCUGGAACACCGGUGGCGAAGGCGGGUCUCUGGGCCGAUACUGACGCUGAGGAGCGAAAGCGUGGGGAGCGAACAGG